RNAcentral lists this long non-coding RNA (1083 nucleotides) under Taeniopygia guttata (zebra finch). Its description in RNAcentral is "lncRNA (ENSTGUG00000020119.1)". The record is from RNAcentral. Lineage: Eukaryota; Metazoa; Chordata; Aves; Passeriformes; Estrildidae.
AUGGGAUUUAAGGUCCCUUCCUACUCAAACCUUUCUGGGAUUCUGUGGGGAUUUUUUUUUAAUAAAAAGCAUAUAAAAGAUCAUAUUGUCCCCACCUCCACCCCCCAUGCAAUGUUUUUGUUCCAUAAAUCUAAAGAGGGUUUUGGGGUUUGUUUGUCUGGUUGUUUUCCAGAGCCAAUUUUGCCUCAUGUUCCCAGGAUGGAGCCCCUGGAAGAGCCCCCAGCAGAGCCUCCCGUACUGGAAACCCCCCAGAAGUUCUUCCUGCGGGUGAAGUGGCAACUGCUGCAGCAGCAGCAAGCUAGGACACCUUCAACCCACACCCAGCAGAAUGUUCCUCCUCCCACAACUGCAGAGAAUCCCUCAGUGCAGCCUGCUGGUGCUGAGCAGCCAGGGAACCAGCCUGCCCAGGAUAUGGACUCUGAUAAGGACGAUGUGGAUGUUUUCCUGGUGGAAUCCAUAGAAGUAGAUGGUGAUGGAGAAAUGUCUCAAAGUACAGUGGCUACUCCUUUGCAAGUGAACUCCACCCCUUGGGAAAAGAGGGAUCGGGUAAGAGGAAGGUGGAGAAAUGGAGAAUGUAGAGAGCUUCAUGAAGACAGGAGAGAGCUGCAGCCCAGCAAAAAACCAGCUGCUCCAGCAGUGGAAAAGGCACCAGAGGCUAGUCCUGGAAAGCCUUCCAAGCGCUUCUGUAGCAUCAUGCUCUGCUCUCCAGUCCAAAUCCCAAGGAAGCAGAAGCUGGCAGAAGAACCCAAGGCCCCUUUGGAUAAACCUCCUACUGAUCAACUUGCUGGCAAAGCGCACAAAGAGAAAAACAUCUGCCUGAACAGCUGGAGGAUUAAAGUGCUGCCUGGAAACAUGGCAAUCUCUGUGUGUGGGAAAAGGAAGGACACGAAUCAGCUGUGGCACAGCACCGCCGUCACCGAGCGCGUCACUCGCAACCAGGUGCAGACCUCCUCGGGAACUGUCUACCUGCUGCAGGGCAAGAUAGACACAGCUGCCAUGAGGAAGGAGGGUGAGCUGCUGGUUCUGAAUGCCUUACAAAUUACAGACUCUUUCAGCUUGCUUUGGAGCACGUGGGGUUUGUAA